This 680-nucleotide ribosomal RNA is filed under the name Thecaphora melandrii. RNAcentral describes it as "eukaryotic LSU rRNA". The stretch from base 226 to 380 matches the Rfam family "5.8S ribosomal RNA". Lineage: Eukaryota; Fungi; Basidiomycota; Ustilaginomycetes; Urocystidales; Glomosporiaceae. The record is from RNAcentral.
CUUGGUCAUUUAGAGGAAGUAAAAGUCGUAACAAGGUUUCUGUAGGUGAACCUGCAGAAGGAUCAUUGAAAAAUCAAUGGGGAAAAGGCAGCCCGCGCAAGGGGUAGCCUUUUUCCUUUAUCCACACGCCUUUACACACCUGUGCACACACAAAAAACCAUUUCACACGCUUAGAAAAUAGAGAAUGUCACAAAAAUCCUUCCUAGGAAGGUGAAAGUUAAAUACAACUUUCGGCAACGGAUCUCUAGGUUCUCCUAUCGAUGAAGAACGCAGCGAAUUGCGAUAAGUAAUUGUGAAUUGCAGACAUCAGUGAAUCAUCGAAUCUUUGAACGCAUCUUGCGCCCUUUGGUAUUCCUUAGGGCAUGCCUGUUUGAGUGUCACGAGCAACCUUUGAACCUCGGAUUUUUUCAUGAAAGUCUGUUUGGGUUCAGUCUUGAGCGCUUGCCUGUUUUUUCAGGCUCGCUCUAAAUGCAUUAGCUGGCAUUUCGCUCCUGUCAUCCGGACCUGGUUUUAAAAAGGCCUGGUUCUCGGAUGGUUGGUUCGGCGUGAUAAUUUACAUCUGCUGGAUCAUUUCAGGGACGGAAUUCUGCUUCCAACCAAGGGAGCCGGUCCUUUUUCGAGGAUCGCGUCUCUGCACUUUUUGACAUCUGGCCUCAGACAGGUAGGACUACCCGCUGAAC